This is a transfer RNA of 69 nucleotides. It matches the Rfam family "tRNA". From Rfam's summary of the family: Transfer RNA (tRNA) molecules are approximately 80 nucleotides in length. Their secondary structure includes four short double-helical elements and three loops (D, anti-codon, and T loops).
GCCUUUGUAGUAUAAUAAAUAUGUUGGUCUUGUAAACCAGAGAAGGAGAAUACUAACCUCCCUAAGGCU